RNAcentral lists this small RNA (28 nucleotides) under Bombyx mori (domestic silkworm). Its description in RNAcentral is "ovarian small RNA-6387". Lineage: Eukaryota; Metazoa; Arthropoda; Insecta; Lepidoptera; Bombycidae. The record is from RNAcentral.
UAGCUGUGUUGUAAGUUUUGAUAGGGAC